AAUCUUAUAGUUUAAUAAAAAUGUAAUAUUGAAAAUAUUAAGAUAUUAGUUUAAGGUUA
This 59-nucleotide transfer RNA is filed under the name Ornithodoros moubata. RNAcentral describes it as "tRNA-Phe". Lineage: Eukaryota; Metazoa; Arthropoda; Arachnida; Ixodida; Argasidae. The record is from RNAcentral. RNAcentral also lists the same sequence under 1 other name.